RNAcentral lists this ribosomal RNA (435 nucleotides) under uncultured bacterium. RNAcentral describes it as "bacterial SSU rRNA". It matches the Rfam family "Bacterial small subunit ribosomal RNA", at positions 43 to 524 of the family's 1533-position model. The record is from RNAcentral.
CAGGCCUAACACAUGCAAGUCGAACGAGACCUUCGGGUCUAGUGGCGCACGGGUGCGUAACGCGUGGGAAUCUGCCCUUGGGUUCGGAAUAACAGCGAGAAAUUGCUGCUAAUACCGGAUGAUGACGUAAGUCCAAAGAUUUAUCGCCCAAGGAUGAGCCCGCGUAGGAUUAGCUAGUUGGUGGGGUAAAGGCCCACCAAGGCGACGAUCCUUAGCUGGUCUGAGAGGAUGAUCAGCCACACUGGGACUGAGACACGGCCCAGACUCCUACGGGAGGCAGCAGUGGGGAAUAUUGGACAAUGGGCGCAAGCCUGAUCCAGCAAUGCCGCGUGAGUGAUGAAGGCCUUAGGGUUGUAAAGCUCUUUUACCCGGGAAGAUAAUGACUGUACCGGGAGAAUAAGCUCCGGCUAACUCCGUGCCAGCAGCCGCGGUAAU